This 301-nucleotide ribosomal RNA is filed under the name uncultured bacterium. RNAcentral's name for it is "partial 16S ribosomal RNA". It matches the Rfam family "Bacterial small subunit ribosomal RNA", at positions 509 to 807 of the family's 1533-position model. The record is from RNAcentral.
CAGUAUCCACGGUAAUCCGUAGGUGGCAAGCGUUGUCCGGAAUUAUUGGGCGUAAAGGGCUCGCAGGCGGUUUCUUAAGUCUGAUGUGAAAGCCCCCGGCUCAACCGGGGAGGGUCAUUGGAAGCUGGGAAACUUGAGUGCAGAAGAGGAGAGUGGAAUUCCACGUGUAGCGGUGAGAUGCGUAGAGAUGUGGAGGAACACCAGUGGCGAAGGCGACUCUCUGGUCUGUAACUGACGCUGAGGAGCGAAAGCGUGGGGAGCGAACAGGAUUAGAUAACCCCGUAGUCCCUGUCUCUUAUAC